Molecule: ribosomal RNA, 379 nt
Filed under: uncultured bacterium
Lineage: Bacteria
Description: partial 16S ribosomal RNA
Rfam family: Bacterial small subunit ribosomal RNA
Source: RNAcentral
CCUACGGGUGGCAGCAGUGGGGAAUAUUGCACAAUGGGGGAAACCCUGAUGCAGCGACGCCGCGUGAGUGAAGAAGUAUUUCGGUAUGUAAAGCUCUAUCAGCAGGGACGAAAAUGACGGUACCUGACUAAGAAGACCCGGCUAACUACGGGCCAGCAGCCGCGGUACUACGUAGGGGGCAAGCGUUAUCCGGAUUUACUGGGUGUAAAGGGAGCGUAGAGGGUCAGACAAGUCAGAAGUGAAAGCCCAGGGCUCAACCCUGGGACUGCUUUUGAAAAGGCCGGGCGGGAGUGCAGGAGAGGUAAGCGGAAUUCCCAGUGUAGCGGUGAAAUGCGUAGAUAUUAGGAGGAACACCAGUGGCGAAGGCGGCUUACUGGAC